This 510-nucleotide long non-coding RNA is filed under the name Elaeis guineensis (African oil palm). RNAcentral's name for it is "long non-coding RNA (EGUI_LNC001556)". Lineage: Eukaryota; Viridiplantae; Streptophyta; Magnoliopsida; Arecales; Arecaceae. The record is from RNAcentral.
AAGGGCCAAUCGGGGUUUUGGAGCACCGUGAAGCCGUUCGUCAACGGCGGGGGCUUCAUGGAUGCUCGGCAUUUUGUGCCAUCCAGCCUAUUGAUAUGGUCAAGGUAAGAAUCUUUCCAUCUUUUUCUUCUUCUUUUUGUUGCAUUCGGAUCUUUCUCUUCUUACUUUUUGUGAGAUUUUGUUUCUUGGGUUUUGUCUUGUAGAUCACUGAUGUCUCUUCUCUACUUCCUUUCUUUUCCUUAGUUUACCUUCAUUUGUGGUUCAAAACAGAAUAUGUUCUCCAAUAUUUACUGCUUCAGGUUAACAAAAGAAAAAAAAAGCCGUUUUCUUGCUUGGGAUCUGGCAAUUCUUCACCAGUGGGUUCUCUCGCUUUCCUUUUUUUUUUAAUAUCUCCAUUCCAAGAAAAGGACUUCUUUCUGUUCCCUAAACAACAACAACAAGAGCCUGCAGUGCCUGUUGGAUUUUAAUCGUUUGACGAUCUGUAUCUGUUUUCAGGGUUAGUCUUAUCUG